RNAcentral lists this unclassified non-coding RNA (333 nucleotides) under soil metagenome. RNAcentral describes it as "partial contains 5.8S ribosomal RNA, internal transcribed spacer 2, and large subunit ribosomal RNA". The stretch from base 1 to 119 matches the Rfam family "5.8S ribosomal RNA", at positions 35 to 154 of the family's 154-position model. The record is from RNAcentral.
GAUGAAGACGCAGCGAAAUGCGAUAAGUAAUGUGAAUUGCAGAAUUCAGUGAAUCAUCGAAUCUUUGAACGCACAUUGCGCCCGCCAGUAUACUGGCGGGCAUGCCUGUUCGAGCGUCAUUUCAACCAUCAAGCCCUGCUUGUGUUGGGGUCCUGCGGCUGCCCGCAGGCCCUGAAAACCAGUGGCGGGCUCGCUAGUCACACCGAGCGCAGUAGCACAUCUCGCUCAGGGCGUGCGGCGGGCUCCAGCCGUUAAAGCACCCACCUUUCGCAAGGUUGACCUCGGAUCAGGUAGGAAUACCCGCUGAACUUAAGCAUAUCAAUAAGCGGAGGA